This 251-nucleotide ribosomal RNA is filed under the name uncultured prokaryote. RNAcentral describes it as "partial 16S rRNA". It matches the Rfam family "Bacterial small subunit ribosomal RNA", at positions 525 to 775 of the family's 1533-position model. The record is from RNAcentral.
ACGUAGGGUGCAAGCGUUAUUCGGAAUUACUGGGCGUAAAGGGCGUGCAGGCGGGAGAUCAAGUCUGAUGUGAAAGCCCGGGGCUUAACCCCGGGAGGGGAUUGGAAACUGGUAUGCUUGAGUUCUGGAGAGGAAGGGGGAAUUCCCGGUGUAGCGGUGAAAUGCGUAGAGAUCAGGAGGAACAUCAGUGGCGAAGGCGGCCUUCUGGACAGCAACUGACGCUGAGACGCGAAAGCGUGGGGAGCAAACAG